This 2460-nucleotide long non-coding RNA is filed under the name Felis catus (domestic cat). Its description in RNAcentral is "lncRNA (ENSFCAG00000045601.2)". Lineage: Eukaryota; Metazoa; Chordata; Mammalia; Carnivora; Felidae. The record is from RNAcentral.
ACCUGUUUGUUGCAGGAUUCAGUCGGCUGAGACAUCACUUUUGGGGAACAUUGAAGAAGAGAUCCAGUGUUGAAUUAGUCAUGUCUAAUGAAAUGCACUGAUAUAUGAUAAAUACCUAGCAUAUGGGCACACAACAAAUGCACCAUUCAUGCCCACUCUUUCCAGAAGGCACAUUGACAGUUCUCGUCUUUACUCACUGCCUGAACCUUUCCUUACCCUUUGACCAAACCUAACCACUUCUUACCUUUUUCUUUUGUUUUGCUUUGUUUUUCUGCAUCUCUAGGUAUUUGCCUCUGUUGCUCCCUUUGCCUGGAAGCUUACCUAGUCCCAUCCAUGCCUUUGGAAAUCACGCGAAAAUGCUUCGAGCUGGAUCCCACGUGUCAUCACCUCAACAAAAGCCUUUCCCUGAGCUGUUUAACCGACCGUGCUUCCUCAAAACAGUGUUCUGCUUGGAAGACACUGAGCAUCUUCAAAAUCUUCUGAUUUUAUAACCAUUCUUGCCUCCCUGACAAGAUGACUCACCAGGACCAUGAUUUAAAUGCAUUCUGCCUUGGAUUCCAAAGAAGUCUUUAACUGAAGCAGGAUCGAGUGCAUUCUCUAGUACACAUUCAGAAAGAAACACUCCAAAUUCCUGUCAGCAGAGAAUCUCUGGGAAUGAAACAAACAAACAAACAAACACCAAAACAAACAAAAAUAAAAACCAAAAAAAAAAAGAAAAAAAAACACUGCUAUAUUGUACAUUGCUGAAAUAAAUAAAGUGCUUAACCAUCAACUGAUUAAUGACAUCAUCCUCUUUAGUUCAAGGCUAUGGAUUGGGAUCUUAGACAUAUAACAAAUUCCCACAAAUUACUAUGAGGUUUUGUAUGCCUUAUCAAAGUUCUGUGAAUAAUGAUUCAUUAUCAAGCUAUGAGCUCACAAUACAUGAAGGGCUUUGAAAGUGCACGUCUUCAAAAGCUGGAACUAAAGGGAUAAAAAAUGUUAGACGACAUAUCAUGAAAUAUGAGAGUGGGACAAGGCCAAGAUGAGUGAUUGCAUUUCAGUAUUUCAAAAUUUUUUUUUUUAACGUUUAUUUAUUUUUGAGACAGAGAGAGACAGAGCAUGAACGGGGGAGGGUCAGAGAGAGGGAGACACAGAAUCUGAAACAGGCUCCAGGCUCAGAGCGGUCAGCACAGAGCCCGACACGGGGUUUGAACUCACGAACUGUGAGAUCAUGACCUGAGCCGAAGUCGGACGCUUAACCGACUGAGCCACCCAGGCGCCCCUGCAUUUCAGUAUUUCUGUGGCCUGUGUAUUUUGAGGAGGCAGAAAAAUAUAAUACGUUUAGAGUCCCGUAAUGUAAACAAAGAUAUUAAAAGGUAACAGUAAAACAAAACAAAACAAAACAAAACCACCACCACAACUGCAUCAGAACAGCUAGAUGUCAUUACUACAGAUUUAGAAAUAGAACGGCUAACUUCAAAGGCAGUACUGAGGAAAAGGCAGAAGUAAAGAAAGUCUGAUCAAUUCAGGAGAAAUCUGUAAAGAAGGAAGGAAAAGGAAAAAGAAAACUUAAUAACUAGGUAAAUCAAAAAGGCAGAAAUUAGUUAUAUCAGUAACCACACAAAUGUAAAAGUUUUGAUCCAUCGAUUUCAUGACAGAUUUGGGGAAAAUGCAUUUAUAUUCUUCUUAAAAGAGAUACACUGAAAUCAAAAUCAUACAUGCAAAUUUUUAAAAAGAUAGAGGAAAAUAUACUCCAAGCAAUGCAUAACCAAUGAAAGGUAGUACAACAUCAUUAAUUUCAAAGAGAAUACAUUUUUACGUCCAAGACAUUAUGGAUAUCCAUGGACACUGCCAAAAAUAUGGCACCCGUAAACUAGUAUAUACGUGGUAACAGAGCCUUGGAUUAUCUGAACUCAUAUUAGGACCAUUAGGACUUCUGGUUUCAACUCUGACAUUUCUUUUUUUAAUGUUUAUUUUUGAGAGAGAGAGAGCGAGAUAGAGAAUUCGUGGGGGAGGGGCAGAGAGAGAGAGGAAGACACAGAACCCGAAGCAGGCUCCAGGCUCUGAGCUGUCAGCACAGAGCCCGAUGUGGGGCUUGAGCUCACGAACCACAAGAUCAUGAUCUGAGCCAAAGUCAGACGCCCAACCUACUGAGCCACCGAGGCACCCCUCAGCUCUGACAUUUCAAGAGCUUGGAAGUUUUCGAUCCAGUUCUUAGAACAGGAAAAAGGCUGAGCAAAAUGAAGACGAAUAACAUUGUCUGAUCCAUCAGAGAACUGAAGUCAUGGGACAAAUCACCACACUGAAAUCUAGAGAGACAGGGAAAUAUGAGGGAUUUGUAUACAAGGCUGAGAUGAGUUUAUCUGGAUCAGAAGACACUGUAAGUACAAACUGAUAGGAACAAUUACGUGGUAAUAUCGAUGAAUUGCUGGAGAAUUUGUGUGGACUAUAAUGAAAGAAAUAAACUCCUAGGGUCCAACA